GCCUAGGUGGCUCAGUUGGUUAAGCGUCUGACUUCAGCUCAGGUGAUGAUCUCGUGGUUCGUGAGUUCAAGCCUCACGUUGGGCU
Molecule: transfer RNA, 85 nt
Filed under: Felis catus (domestic cat)
Lineage: Eukaryota; Metazoa; Chordata; Mammalia; Carnivora; Felidae
Rfam family: tRNA
About the family: Transfer RNA (tRNA) molecules are approximately 80 nucleotides in length. Their secondary structure includes four short double-helical elements and three loops (D, anti-codon, and T loops).
Source: Rfam by way of RNAcentral